GACGAACGUUGGCGGCGUGGAUUAGGCAUGCAAGUCGAGCGAGAUCCGUAGCAAUACGGUGAAAGCGGCGUAAGGGACAGGAAUACGUAGACUACCUACCCUCAGGUUCAGGAUAGCCCGCCGAAAGGCGGGGUAAUACUGGAUGAUGUCUCCGGAUCAAAGGUGUGAUUCCGCCGGAGGAUGGGUCUACGUCCUAUUAGCUAGUUGGCGGGGUAACGGCCCACCAAGGCAAUGAUGGGUAGCAGGUGUGAGAGCACGACCUGCGUCACUGGGACUGGGACACUGCCCAGACACCUACGGGUGGCUGCAGUCGAGGAUCUUCGGCAAUGGGCGCAAGCCUGACCGAGCGACGCCGCGUGCGGGAUGAAGGCCUUCGGGUUGUAAACCGCUGUCAGUGGGGAGGAAAUGCAGGUGGGUUCUCCCAUCUGUUUGACCUAUCCGCAGAGGAAGGAUGGGCUAAGUUCGUGCCAGCCGCCGCCGUAA
RNAcentral lists this ribosomal RNA (483 nucleotides) under uncultured bacterium. Its description in RNAcentral is "partial 16S ribosomal RNA". It matches the Rfam family "Bacterial small subunit ribosomal RNA", at positions 28 to 523 of the family's 1533-position model. The record is from RNAcentral.